GUAAGGAAUAUUGGGCAAUGGAGGCAACUCUGACCCAGCCAUGCCGCGUGAAGGAUUGACGGCCCUCUGGGUUGUAAACUUCUUUUGUACGGGAAUAACCCUCCGAACGUGUUCGGAGCUGAAGGUACCGUAAGAAUAAGGAUCGGCUAACUCCGUGCCAGCAGCCGCGGUAAUACGGAGGAUCCAAGCGUUAUCCGGAUUUACUGGGUUUAAAGGGUGCGUAGGCGGAUUGAUAAGUCAGUGGUGAAAUCCUGCAGCUUAACUGCAGAACUGCCAUUGAUACUGCCAGUCUGGAGUAUGGUUGAGGUAGCUGGAAUGUGUCAUGUAGCGGUGAAAUGCUUAGAGAUGACACAGAACACCGACGGCGAAGGCAGGUUACCAACCCAUUACUGACGCUGAGGCACGAAAGCGUGGGGAUCAAACAGGAUUAGAAACCCCGGUAGUCU
This 446-nucleotide ribosomal RNA is filed under the name uncultured bacterium. RNAcentral's name for it is "partial 16S ribosomal RNA". It matches the Rfam family "Bacterial small subunit ribosomal RNA", at positions 354 to 796 of the family's 1533-position model. The record is from RNAcentral.